AGAUUGAACGCUGGCGGCGUGCCUAACACAUGCAAGUCGAGCGGUAACAGGUGUAGCAAUACAUGCUGACGAGCGGCGGACGGGUGAGUAACGCUUGGGAAUCUGCCUGUUAGUGGGGGACAACCCGGGGAAACUCGGGCUAAUACCGCAUACGCACUACGGUGGAAAGCCGGGGACCGCAAGGCCUGGCGCUAACAGAUGAGCCAAAGUCGGAUUAGCUAGUUGGUAGGGUAACGGCCUACCAAGGCGACGAUCCGUAACUGGUCUGAGAGGACGACCAGUCACACCGGAACUGAGACACGGUCCGGACUCCUACGGGAGGCAGCAGUAGGGAAUAUUGGACAAUGGGCGAAAGCCUGAUCCAGCCAUGCCGCGUGAGUGAAGAAGGCCUUAGGGUUGUAAAGCUCUUUUGGCGGGGAAGAUAAUGACGGUACCCGCAGAAUAAGCUCCGGCUAACUUCGUGCCAGCAGCCGC
Molecule: ribosomal RNA, 474 nt
Filed under: uncultured bacterium
Lineage: Bacteria
Description: SSU rRNA
Rfam family: Bacterial small subunit ribosomal RNA
Source: RNAcentral